GACCCGCACAAGCGGUGGAGCAUGUGGUUUAAUUCGAAGCAACGCGAAGAACCUUACCAAGUCUUGACAUCCCGGUGACGCAUGUAGAAAUAUAUGUUUUCUUCGGAACACUGGAGACAGGUGGUGCAUGGUUGUCGUCAGCUCGUGUCGUGAGAUGUUGGGUUAAGUCCCGCAACGAGCGCAACCCUUAUUCUUAGUAGCCAGCAGGUAAAGCUGGGCACUCUAGGGAGACUGCCAGGGAUAACCUGGAGGAAGGUGGGGAUGACGUCAAAUCAUCAUGCCCCUUAUGAUUUGGGCUACACACGUGCUACAAUGGCGUAAACAAAGGGAGGCGAAGGAGUGAUCUGGAGCGAACCCCAAAAAUAACGUCUCAGUUCGGAUUGCAGGCUGCAACCCGCCUGCAUGAAGCCGGAAUCGCUAGUAAUCGCAGAUCAGAAUGCUGCGGUGAAUACGUUCCCGGGUCUUGUACACACCGCCCGUCACACCAUGGGAGUCGAUAACGCCCGAAGUCAGUGACCCAACCGAAAGGAGGGAGCUGCCGAAGGCGGGAUUGAUAACUGGGGUGAAGUCGUAACAAGGUAGCCGUAUCGGAAGGUGCGGCUGGAUCACCUCCUUUCUAAGGAA
RNAcentral lists this ribosomal RNA (624 nucleotides) under Clostridiaceae bacterium. Its description in RNAcentral is "bacterial SSU rRNA". It matches the Rfam family "Bacterial small subunit ribosomal RNA", at positions 918 to 1533 of the family's 1533-position model. Lineage: Bacteria; Bacillati; Bacillota; Clostridia; Eubacteriales; Clostridiaceae. The record is from RNAcentral.